AGGACGAACGCUGGCGGCGUGCUUAACACAUGCAAGUCGAGCGGAAAGGCCCUUCGGGGUACUCGAGCGGCGAACGGGUGAGUAACACGUGAGUAACCUGCCCCUAGCUCUGGGAUAGCUCCGGGAAACCGGGAUUAAUACCAGAUACGACCACUUUAGACAUCUGUCGUGGUGGAAAGGAUUCCGGCUAGGGAUGGGCUCGCGGCCUAUCAGCUUGUUGGUGGGGUAACGGCCUACCAAGGCGACGACGGGUAGCCGGCCUGAGAGGGCGACCGGCCACACUGGGACUGAGACACGGCCCAGACUCCUACGGGAGGCAGCAGUGGGGAAUAUUGCGCAAUGGGCGAAAGCCUGACGCAGCGACGCCGCGUGGGGGAUGAAGGCCUUCGGGUUGUAAACCCUUCAGCAGGGACGAAGCGAAAGUGACGGUACCUGCAGAAGAAGCGCCGGCUAACUACGCGCCAGCAGCCGC
RNAcentral lists this ribosomal RNA (472 nucleotides) under uncultured bacterium. RNAcentral's name for it is "SSU rRNA". It matches the Rfam family "Bacterial small subunit ribosomal RNA", at positions 26 to 518 of the family's 1533-position model. The record is from RNAcentral.